This 164-nucleotide small nuclear RNA is filed under the name Carlito syrichta (Philippine tarsier). RNAcentral's name for it is "U1 spliceosomal RNA (ENSTSYG00000032705.1)". It matches the Rfam family "U1 spliceosomal RNA". From Rfam's summary of the family: U1 is a small nuclear RNA (snRNA) component of the spliceosome (involved in pre-mRNA splicing). Its 5' end forms complementary base pairs with the 5' splice junction, thus defining the 5' donor site of an intron. Lineage: Eukaryota; Metazoa; Chordata; Mammalia; Primates; Tarsiidae. The record is from Rfam by way of RNAcentral.
AUAGAUACCUGGCAGGGAAGAUACCAUGAUCACGUAGGUGGUUUUCCCAGGGUGAGACUUAUCCAUUGUGCUCUGGAUGUGCUGACCCUUGUGAUUUUCCCAAAUGUGGGAAACUCGACUGCAUGAUUUGUGGUGGUAGGGGACUGCAUUUAUGCUCUCCUCUG